RNAcentral lists this ribosomal RNA (1341 nucleotides) under uncultured bacterium. RNAcentral's name for it is "partial 16S ribosomal RNA". It matches the Rfam family "Bacterial small subunit ribosomal RNA", at positions 28 to 1381 of the family's 1533-position model. The record is from RNAcentral.
GACGAACGCUGGCGGCGUGCUUAACACAUGCAAGUCGAACGGUAAGGCUCCAGCUUGCUGGGGUACACGAGUGGCGAACGGGUGAGUAACACGUGGGUGACCUGCCCUGCACUUCGGGAUAAGCCUGGGAAACUGGGUCUAAUACCGGAUAGGACCGCACCGUGAGGGUGUGGUGGAAAGUUUUUUCGGUGUGGGAUGGGCCCGCGGCCUAUCAGCUUGUUGGUGGGGUAAUGGCCUACCAAGGCGGCGACGGGUAGCCGGCCUGAGAGGGUGGACGGCCACAUUGGGACUGAGACACGGCCCAGACUCCUACGGGAGGCAGCAGUGGGGAAUAUUGCACAAUGGGCGGAAGCCUGAUGCAGCGACGCCGCGUGGGGGAUGACGGCCUUCGGGUUGUAAACUCCUUUCACCAUCGACGAAGGGUUUCUGACGGUAGAUGGAGAAGAAGCACCGGCUAACUACGUGCCAGCAGCCGCGGUAAUACGUAGGGUGCGAGCGUUGUCCGGAAUUACUGGGCGUAAAGAGCUCGUAGGUGGUUUGUCGCGUCGUCUGUGAAAUUCCGGGGCUUAACUCCGGGCGUGCAGGCGAUACGGGCAUAACUUGAGUACUGUAGGGGAGACUGGAACUCCUGGUGUAGCGGUGAAAUGCGCAGAUAUCAGGAGGAACACCGGUGGCGAAGGCGGGUCUCUGGGCAGUAACUGACGCUGAGGAGCGAAAGCAUGGGGAGCGAACAGGAUUAGAUACCCUGGUAGUCCAUGCCGUAAACGGUGGGCGCUAGGUGUGGGUUUCCUUCCACGGGAUCCGUGCCGUAGCUAACGCAUUAAGCGCCCCGCCUGGGGAGUACGGCCGCAAGGCUAAAACUCAAAGGAAUUGACGGGGGCCCGCACAAGCGGCGGAGCAUGUGGAUUAAUUCGAUGCAACGCGAAGAACCUUACCUGGGCUUGACAUAUACAGGAUCGCGCCAGAGAUGGUGUUUCCCUUGUGGCUUGUAUACAGGUGGUGCAUGGUUGUCGUCAGCUCGUGUCGUGAGAUGUUGGGUUAAGUCCCGCAACGAGCGCAACCCUUGUCUUAUGUUGCCAGCACGUUGUGGUGGGGACUCGUAAGAAACUGCCGGGGUUAACUCGGAGGAAGGUGGGGAUGACGUCAAAUCAUCAUGCCCCUUAUGUCCAGGGCUUCACACAUGCUACAAUGGUCGGUACAGUGGGUUGCCAGUCCGUGAGGGCGAGCUAAUCCCGCAAAGCCGGUCUCAGUUCGGAUCGGGGUCUGCAACUCGACCCCGUGAAGUCGGAGUCGCUAGUAAUCGCAGAUCAGCAACGCUGCGGUGAAUACGUUCCCGGGCCU